AGAGUUUGAUCAUGGCUCAGGAUGAACGCUGGCGGCGUGCUUAACACAUGCAAGUCGAACGAUGAACUGGUGCUUGCACUGGGGAUUAGUGGCGAACGGGUGAGUAACACGUGAGUAACCUGCCCUUGACUCUGGGAUAAGCCUGGGAAACUGGGUCUAAUACCGGAUAUGACCUUCCAUCGCAUGGUGGUUGGUGGAAAGCUUUUGUGGUUUUGGAUGGACUCGCGGCCUAUCAGCUUGUUGGUGGGGUAAUGGCCUACCAAGGCGACGACGGGUAGCCGGCCUGAGAGGGUGACCGGCCACACUGGGACUGAGACACGGCCCAGACUCCUACGGGAGGCAGCAGUGGGGAAUAUUGCACAAUGGGCGGAAGCCUGAUGCAGCGACGCCGCGUGAGGGAUGACGGCCUUCGGGUUGUAAACCUCUUUCAGUAGGGAAGAAGCGAAAGUGACGGUACCUGCAGAAGAAGCGCCGGCUAACUACGUGCCAGCAGCCGCGGUA
RNAcentral lists this ribosomal RNA (501 nucleotides) under uncultured Actinomycetes bacterium. Its description in RNAcentral is "bacterial SSU rRNA". It matches the Rfam family "Bacterial small subunit ribosomal RNA", at positions 8 to 522 of the family's 1533-position model. Lineage: Bacteria; Bacillati; Actinomycetota; Actinomycetes. The record is from RNAcentral.